UUUGGGAAAAGUCCGCGAACAAAGCCGUUGGUCCGCGUCUCUGUCUCCCCCUCCAACUCCAACUGCACAUUUUUCUUUCAUUUCUCUUCCUUCCAUCUCUAAUUACAAUUUUCUAAUUACUUCGUUUACGCUUAAACAGAAAACAAAAAAAUUAAAUUCCAAAACUAAAACUCUUUGCUAGCUCAGCUCUGCGAGUUUUCACCAUCCACACCACAUAUUGCCGAUUCGAUCAUCUUCCCUCACUGAUCGAUCGGUCUUCCUCCCUACAAAGACACAUAUUCUGAGUUCUCGUAUGAAAAUUCGAGGUGGGUUUUUGUUAAGAUUUGCAUUUUAGACGAACAGAGAGAAUUACGAUGUCGAAUUUGGUGAGUAAUUUCAAUCAGAAGAUCGACUACGUGUUCAAGGUGGUGCUGAUCGGAGACUCGGCGGUCGGCAAGUCUCAGCUCUUGGCUCGCUUUGCUCGGAACGAGUUCAGCUUGGAGUCCAAGGCUACCAUUGGCGUUGAGUUCCAGACUAAGACCCUCGUGAUCGACCACAAAACCAUCAAAGCCCAGAUUUGGGACACUGCUGGCCAAGAAAGAUACAGGGCGGUGACAAGUGCAUACUACAGAGGUUCGGUGGGGGCAAUGCUGGUCUAUGACAUAACCAAGCCUCAAUCAUUUGAUCAUGUAACCAAGUGGUUAGAGGAAUUGAGGGCGCAUGCCGACAACAAUAUUGUUGUGAUGCUUGUAGGCAACAAGUCCGACCUGGGGACACUGCGAGCUGUACCUUCUGAGGAUGCUAAAGAGUUUGCCCAAAGGGAGAACCUCUUCUUUAUGGAGGCAUCGGCACUUGAGGCCACUAAUGUUGAAUCUGCAUUCGUUACUGUCCUAACAGAAAUUUAUCGAAUCCUCGGCAAGAAGUCCCUCAUUCCAAAUGAGGAAGCAGAGUCUGGGAGUUCCUCACUUCUCAAGGGAACAAAACUUGUUGUUCCUGGACAAGAGCCCGAGCCUCAAGCGAGUAGCUGUUGCUGGUCUUCAUAAAAUUGUAGCCUUUUAACCUCCUGCAACUUGGAUUUCUGCUGUUUAUACUUCCAGAGAUGAAUGUAAUACAGCCUGUGGUAGAGUGGGUGAUUAGGUUUACCCUCUUGUAAAAAGCGGUUGGCCGAUGGACUGGCACAGAAUUCUCAGACUCAAAGCACAGUGAUAUGAUACAAUUGACACUUGUACUUGCCUGUAGUAUGUUCACUUUUUUUUUUUUUUUCUUCUGAUUUUUGCCAGCAUAUCGUGGCUGGAAAACUGAAGGCUACUCACCUACACACAUGAAACUAGCCGAGAGCAAUGUGGCGUAUGAGAAAAUGAGCUCGAGUUUGGUUGUGGAACAAUGUUCUAUUUCACUACUUUAUUGAGUUUUAUUUUUUACGAACGGAGCUUUUUCUA
Pyrus x bretschneideri (Chinese white pear) is the source of this 1418-nucleotide RNA transcript. It is a transcript of the gene named ras-related protein RABA4c, with no coding region annotated. The record is from RefSeq and is a predicted model, not a curated record. The transcript has 3 exons. NCBI's taxonomy places the organism in Eukaryota, Viridiplantae, Streptophyta, Magnoliopsida, Rosales, Rosaceae.